AUCGGAAUUACUGGGCGUAAAGCGUGCGUAGGCGGUUAAUUAAGUCAGAUGUGAAAGCCCCGGGCUUAACCUGGGAACUGCAUUUGAUACUGGUUAACUAGAGUUUAGUAGAGGGGAGUGGAAUUUCAGGUGUAGCGGUGAAAUGCGUAGAUAUCUGAAGGAACACCAGUGGCGAAGGCGACUCCCUGGACUAAAACUGACGCUGAGGUACGAAAGCGUGGGUAGCAAACAGGAUUAGAUACCCUGGUAGUCCACGCCGUAAACGAUGUCAACUAGCCGUUGGUCCUAUUUACAGGAUUAGUGGCGCAGCUAACGCAUUAAGUUGACCGCCUGGGGAGUACGGCCGCAAGGUUAAAACUCAAAGGAAUUGACGGGGGCCCGCACAAGCGGUGGAGCAUGUGGUUUAAUUCGAUGCAACGCGAAGAACCUUACCUACCCUUGACAUCCARAGAAUC
RNAcentral lists this ribosomal RNA (455 nucleotides) under uncultured Gammaproteobacteria bacterium. RNAcentral's name for it is "bacterial SSU rRNA". It matches the Rfam family "Bacterial small subunit ribosomal RNA", at positions 544 to 997 of the family's 1533-position model. The record is from RNAcentral. Lineage: Bacteria; Pseudomonadati; Pseudomonadota; Gammaproteobacteria.